RNAcentral lists this unclassified non-coding RNA (309 nucleotides) under plant metagenome. Its description in RNAcentral is "partial contains 5.8S ribosomal RNA, internal transcribed spacer 2, and large subunit ribosomal RNA". The stretch from base 1 to 105 matches the Rfam family "5.8S ribosomal RNA", at positions 50 to 154 of the family's 154-position model. The record is from RNAcentral.
GAAAUGCGAUAAGUAGUGUGAAUUGCAGAAUUCAGUGAAUCAUCGAAUCUUUGAACGCACAUUGCGCCCCUUGGUAUUCCAUGGGGCAUGCCUGUUCGAGCGUCAUUUGUACCCUCAAGCUCUACUUGGUGUUGGGUGUUUGUCCCGUCUCCGCGCGUGGACUCGCCCCAAAGUGAUUGGCAGCCGGCGUACUGGUCCCGGAGCGCAGCACAUGUCGCGCAAACGAGUGCCUUGGUACGGCGGCGUCCAUAAGCCCCUCUCUCACGCUCUUGACCUCGGAUCAGGUAGGGAUACCCGCUGAACUUAAGC